UGAGGAAUAUUGGUCAAUGGACGCAAGUCUGAACCAGCCAAGUAGCGUGCAGGAUGACGGCCCUAUGGGUUGUAAACUGCUUUUAUAUGGGGAUAAAGUGGGGAACGUGUUCCCUUUUGCAGGUACCAUAUGAAUAAGGACUGGCUAAUUACGUGCCAGCAGCCGCGGUAAUACGUAAGGUCCGAGCGUUGUCCGGAAUCAUUGGGCGUAAAGGGUACGUAGGCGGGUAAGCAAGUUAGAAGUGAAAUCCUGUAGCUCAACUACAGUAAGCUUUUAAAACUGCUCAUCUUGAGAUAUGGAAGGGAAAGUGGAAUUCCUAGUGUAGCGGUGAAAUGCGCAGAUAUUAGGAGGAAUACCGGUGGCGAAGGCGACUUUCUGGCCAUAAUCUGACGCUGAGGUACGAAAGCGUGGGUAGCAAACAGG
This 423-nucleotide ribosomal RNA is filed under the name Verrucomicrobiota bacterium. Its description in RNAcentral is "Verrucomicrobia bacterium partial 16S ribosomal RNA". It matches the Rfam family "Bacterial small subunit ribosomal RNA", at positions 355 to 776 of the family's 1533-position model. The record is from RNAcentral. Lineage: Bacteria; Pseudomonadati; Verrucomicrobiota.